Molecule: ribosomal RNA, 468 nt
Filed under: uncultured bacterium
Lineage: Bacteria
Description: partial 16S ribosomal RNA
Rfam family: Bacterial small subunit ribosomal RNA
Source: RNAcentral
GACGAACGCUGGCGGCGUGCUUAACACAUGCAAGUCGAACGGAAAGGCCCUGCUUUUGUGGGGUGCUCGAGUGGCGAACGGGUGAGUAACACGUGAGUAACCUGCCCUUGACUUUGGGAUAACUUCAGGAAACUGGGGCUAAUACCGGAUAGGAGCUCCUGCUGCUUGGUGGGGGUUGGAAGGUUUCGGCGGUUGGGGUUGGACUCGCGGCUUAUCAGCUUGUGGGUGGGGUAGUGGCUUACCAAGGCUUUGACGGGUAGCCGGCCUGAGAGGGUGACCGGCCACAUUGGGACUGAGAUACGGCCCAGACUCCUACGGGAGGCAGCAGUGGGGAAUAUUGCACAAUGGGCGGAAGCCUGAUGCAGCAACGCCGCGUGCGGGAUGACGGCCUUCGGGUUGUAAACCGCUUUCGCCUGUGACGAAGCGUGAGUGACGGUAAUGGGUAAAGAAGCACCGGCUAACUACGUG